CAGUCGCCGCGGGAAUACGAAGGGUGCAAGCGUUAAUCGGAAUUACUGGGCGUAAAGCGCGCGUAGGUGGUUUGGUAAGAUGGAUGUGAAAUCCCCGGGCUCAACCUGGGAACUGCAUCCAUAACUGCCUGACUAGAGUACGGUAGAGGGUGGUGGAAUUUCCUGUGUAGCGGUGAAAUGCGUAGAUAUAGGAAGGAACACCAGUGGCGAAGUCGACCACCUGGACUGAUACUGACACUGAGGUGCGAAAGCGUGGGGAGCAAACAGGAUUAGAUACCCCAGUAGUCCCUGUCUCUUAUAC
This 301-nucleotide ribosomal RNA is filed under the name uncultured bacterium. Its description in RNAcentral is "partial 16S ribosomal RNA". It matches the Rfam family "Bacterial small subunit ribosomal RNA", at positions 509 to 807 of the family's 1533-position model. The record is from RNAcentral.